GUCUCUGCGACGCAAUUGGUUAGCGCGUUCGGCUGUUAAGCGAAAGGUUGGUGGUUCAAGCCCACCCAGGGACA
Molecule: transfer RNA, 74 nt
Filed under: Manacus vitellinus (golden-collared manakin)
Lineage: Eukaryota; Metazoa; Chordata; Aves; Passeriformes; Pipridae
Rfam family: tRNA
About the family: Transfer RNA (tRNA) molecules are approximately 80 nucleotides in length.
Source: Rfam by way of RNAcentral